CUCAAUACCAUAACGUUGAUAAUAUCCUUAGACAACUAGAUGAGCUUUGUAGGUCUCCACUUUCUCGUCUGUACCCUCUGAUCUUAUUGAAGAUCCACUUACACUCUAUGGGCUUUACCCUUUCGAGUGGAUCAAUGAGUAUCCAUACACCGUUGAUCAUUAUGGAUGCCAUUUUGGACUUUAUGGCUCCAAGCCACUAAUCAG
This 204-nucleotide long non-coding RNA is filed under the name Elaeis guineensis (African oil palm). RNAcentral describes it as "long non-coding RNA (EGUI_LNC015401)". The record is from RNAcentral. Lineage: Eukaryota; Viridiplantae; Streptophyta; Magnoliopsida; Arecales; Arecaceae.